GAGUUUGAUCCUGGCUCAGAACGUACGCUGGCGGCACGCCUAACACAUGCAAGUCGAACGAAGUAGCAAUACUUAGUGGCAGACGGGUGAGUAACAUGUAGGUAUCUGCCCUUAGGCCUGGAAUAACACGAGGAAACUUGUGCUAAUACCGGAUAAGUCUUUACGGAGAAAGCUUUAUGCACCAUUGGAUGAGCCCGCACUUGAUUAGUUUGUUGGUGGGGUAAUGGCCUACCAAGACUGUGAUCAAUAGCUGAUUUGAGAGGAUGAUCAGCCACAUUGGGACUGAGACACGGCCCAAACUCCUACGGGAGGCAGCAGUGGGGAAUCUUGCACAAUGGAGGAAGCUCUGAUGCAGCGAUGCCGCGUGAGUGAAGAAGGCCCUUGGGUUGUAAAGCUCUUUCGUCGGGGAAGAAAAUGACUGUACCCGAAUAAGAAGGUCCGGCUAACUUCGUGCCAGCAGCCGCGGUAAUACGAAGGGACCUAGCGUAGUUCGGAAUUACUGGGCUUAAAGAGUUCGUAGGUGGUUGAAAAAGUUAGUGGUGAAAUCCCAGAGCUUAACUCUGGAACUGCCAUUAAAACUUUUCAGCUAGAGUAUGAUAGAGGAAAGCAGAAUUUCUAGUGUAGAGGUGAAAUUCGUAGAUAUUAGAAAGAAUACCAAUUGCGAAGGCAGCUUUCUGGAUCAUUACUGACACUGAGGAACGAAAGCAUGGGUAGCGAAGAGGAUUAGAUACCCUCGUAGUCCAUGCCGUAAACGAUGUGUGUUAGACGUUGGAAAUUUAUUUUCAGUGUCGCAGGGAAACCGAUAAACACACCGCCUGGGGAGUACGACCGCAAGGUUAAAACUCAAAUGAAUUGACGGGGACCCGCACAAGUAGUGGAGCAUGUGGUUUUAUUCGAAGAUACGCGCAGAACCUUACCAACACUUGACAUGUUCGUCGCGACUCUAAGAGAUUAGAGUUUUCGGUUCGGCCGGACGAAACACAGGUGCUGCAUGGCUGUCGUCAGCUCGUGUCGUGAGAUGUUGGGUUAAGUCCCGCAACGAGCGCAACCCUCACUUUUAGUUGCCAUCAUUAAGUUGGGCACUCUGAAAGAACUGCCAGUGAUAAGCUGGAGGAAGGUGGGGAUGACGUCAAGUCCUCAUGGCCCUUACGUGUUGGGCUACACACGUGCUACAAUGGUAUNUACAACAGGAAGCAAGACUGCGAAGUUAAGCAAAUCCCUAAAAGAUACCUCAGUUCGGAUUGCACUCUGCAACUCGAGUGCAUGAAGCUGGAAUUACUAGUAAUCGUGGAUCAGCGUGCCACGGUGAAUGCGUUCCCGGGUCUUGUACUCACCGCCCGUC
This 1342-nucleotide ribosomal RNA is filed under the name uncultured marine bacterium. RNAcentral describes it as "bacterial SSU rRNA". It matches the Rfam family "Bacterial small subunit ribosomal RNA". The record is from RNAcentral.